GAUUGCCCUAGUAACGGCGAGUGAAGCGGCAACAGCUCAAAUUUGAAAUCUGGCCCCCAGGCCCGAGUUGUAAUUUGUAGAGGAUGCUUUUGGUGACGCGCUUACCGAGUCCCCUGGAAUGGGGCGCCACAGAGGGUGAGAGCCCCGUAUGGUUUGCCGCCGAGCCUCUGUAAAGCUCCUUCGACGAGUCGAGUAGUUUGGGAAUGCUGCUCUAAAUGGGAGGUAAAUUUCUUCUAAAGCUAAAUACCGGCCAGAGACCGAUAGCGUACAAGUAGAGUGAUCGAAAGAUGAAAAGCACUUUGAAAAGAGGGUUAAAUAGCACGUGAAAUUGUUGAAAGGGAAGCGCUUGUGACCAGACUCGCGCCGGGCGGAUCAUCCAGCGUUCUCGCUGGUGCACUCCGCCCGGUUCGGGCCAGCAUCGGUUUUCGCCGGGGGACAAAAGCCUCGGGAACGUGGCCCCCUUCGGGGGGUGUUAUAGCCAGUGGCAGAAUACCCCGGCGGGGACCGAGGACCGCGCUUCGGCAAGGAUGCUGGCGUAAUGGUCAUCAGCGACCCGUCUUGAAACACGGACCGAGGAGUCAAGCAUUAGUGCGAGUGUUUGGGUGUAAAACCCGCACGCGUAAUGAAAGUGAACGUAGGUGAGAGCUUCGGCGCAUCAUCGACCGAUCCUGAAGUUUACGGAUGGAUUUGAGUAGGAGCAUUAACGCUUGGACCCGAAAGAUGGUGAACUAUACUUGAAUAGGGUGAAGCCAGAGGAAACUCUGGUGGAGGCUCGCAGCGGUUCUGACGUGCAAAUCGAUCGUCAAAUUUGAGUAUAGGGGCGAAAGACUAAUCGAACCAUCUAGUAGCUGGUUACCGCC
Molecule: ribosomal RNA, 860 nt
Filed under: Pseudophialophora schizachyrii
Lineage: Eukaryota; Fungi; Ascomycota; Sordariomycetes; Magnaporthales; Magnaporthaceae
Description: eukaryotic LSU rRNA
Rfam family: Eukaryotic large subunit ribosomal RNA
Source: RNAcentral